UUGACUCCUAAUUGUCUCUGGUUAAUUUAUAAUUAAUUUCCAAAGUCGGAACAGGAAAUCCAGAAACCGUUCUGGCCCUGUCUCACGAGAACCUGAAUAUCUCUUAACAUACUGUCCGUAUGAUUGUUUUGUUACUUUCUUAUGAAAAUAGAUUCAUCAAGGUUCGUUUACAUAAUUUAUUCACUAUUUAAUUCCAUUCCUACUAUUUUUAGUGAUUUUCCAAAUCUACAUCACUGCUGCUGUCAGCAUCUGCC
This 254-nucleotide long non-coding RNA is filed under the name Gossypium barbadense (sea-island cotton). RNAcentral describes it as "long non-coding RNA (GBAR_LNC006482)". The record is from RNAcentral. Lineage: Eukaryota; Viridiplantae; Streptophyta; Magnoliopsida; Malvales; Malvaceae.